UAUAACAAUAACCCCAAUUUAUUAAAUAGAUAAAGAUAAUGCCAUUUAAGUCAAAAGUCUGAAAUACUGAUAAUAAUGCGGAAUAUCUAACAAAAUAACAAUACAGCCCAACUAGGACCCGAUGUCACGAACAUGAGCCUCUAGAAUACAGAGUAAUAUCCUACUACAAAGUCUGUCUAAAACUGAAAAUACGGAAAUAAAUGAUAGAAAUAGAGGGGAGAAUCAUCGGCUGUGAACACCCUGCAGAUACCUCAAAAUACUCCCGAAAUAAAACUUUGAAUCAACUAGAUCUACUCAGCCUGAGACUACCCUGGAUCAGCACGCAAGGUGCAGGGAGUAAAGUGAGUACUCCGACCCAAUGAGUAAUAAACAUAACUACAGUCUGUAAGGAAGAAAACGCAGAAAAUGCACAAACUUUUCUAUAUCUAGCAGCUCAUAUCCAAAAUAGUGGAAACAGUAUACAACAAGUUAUACAGUUAAGAAAUAAUGCAUGAAAGAAUGCAACACAUAUAACGGUACACACUAGUACCCGCUGCGGCGUGAAGCCCACUCCACUUAUCUAACGUCGAUGGCGCUCAUUGGGGGUGUGUACUGACUCCUGAGGGGCUCCUAUAGUCCAAGCGCAAUAUCAGCCAGGUAUUGGCAUAAAAUAAGCUCUCGGCCUCAAUAUCAAUAUAUAUAAUCGCUGCGGCGUGAAACCUGAUUCAUAUCAAGGAAACAUCCUCACUACCGGGUCCCCGACCCAUCUCAAUAAAAUAAGUUCACACCAAUUGGGCGUGACAUACUAUAGGGAUUUUAGCCCUCACAUCCUUAUUCAUUUAAUGUUAAUGUAUAAAAUACAGUUAUUAUAUUAUUUUUGACAUUUGAAAACAUGACUGAGAAUCUAUGUUAUGCACAAAAAUGAGGAAAACACAUAAGGAUCCCCUAAGGAUUCUACAGGUCGGCACAAGGCUCAAACACGGCAAUAAGCCCAAUUCACAAUAAUAAAGUAUGCAUCUCAAUCGCCAAUAUAGUAAACAUUAACACUUGGAAUGGACUAAGUCUGAAUCCCCAAUAGUAAACGACCCCGCUCUCAUCGUGGAAUGCAUCUCACACCUCAAUAUAGCAUUAGAAUGUGAAAGUCUGGGGUUUCAAACCCUCAGAGCAGCAUUUACAUUCAUUACUCACCUCUAGCCGGCCGAAAACUAGCUAGCAAUGUCCUUGCCUCUCGAAUCGACCUCCUCGCAUGUCGAAUCUGGCCAAAACUACAACGAAUACAUUACAAUAGUCUAAGGGAAUAUAACCCAAUCAAAAAGACUCAAAAAAUAUCAAAAACCACGAAAUUUGCAAAACCCGAGCCCUGGGCUCACUUUUCGAAAGUCAAAAAAUUUAACACCAAAAUAUUUCUUAUCUCUCCACGAGUCUAUUCAUGUAAAAUUUAUCAAAAUCAGAGUCCAAAUGCUCCCAUAAAUUCCAAUUUCUCAUAAAAAACCCAAGCCCUAGUUCUUCCCCUUUUUACUCAAAUUUCAUGAAUUUAGGUGUUGAAAUCACAAUUAGAUGAUGUUUCUAGGCCAUAGGGCUUACCUCCAAUCGAUUCCUAGUCAAAAACCUCUAAAUUCCUCAUCAAAAGCUCCCAAGGUUGCUUGAGAAUGGUGGAAAAUAGACUUGGUUCGCGGAUGAAAUGUUAUUAAAAACCCUCUCUGCUCGUCUAUUUCCUUCUAUGCGAACGCGAGACCCCCCCCCCCCCCNNNNNNNNNNNNNNNNNNNNNNNNNNNNNNNNNNNNNNNNNNNNNNNNNNNNNNNNNNNNNNNNNNNNNNNNNNNNNNNNNNNNNNNNNNNNNCCCCCCCCCCCCUCGCGUUCACGAUGCACAAAAAUUCCUCAGAUCAAAUUAAGCCUUCGCAAAUGUAUCUGGUCUCCCGCGAACGUGAAGGCGCAGGGCACAGACAUAUGCGAACUCGACCUAUUGAACAGGAACGCGUUGAACACCCAGACUGACCCUCUACUUUACUCUACGUGAACGCGUGCCCCAUCCCGCGAACGCGAAGCGCCAAUGCCUCAACCUACGCGACCACGUUGAUCAUUUUCCUGACCUCCAAAAUUAACCCUACGCGAACGUGACACUUGCCACGUGAAUGCGAAGGCUUAAAAAUAGUCUACACUGCUGUUGCAUUUUCUGCAACACUCAAAGUCCAAAAAUCCUUCUGUUAAUCACCCGGAAUCACCCCGAGGCCCAAGGGACCUCGACCAAAAACACCAACAUAUACCAAAACAUCAUACAAACUUAUUCCAAUCAUCAUAACACGUCAAACAACACUAAAAUCAUAAAUUCACAUAAGAUUCAAGCCUAAGUUUCUUCAAAACUUCCGAAUUGCACAUUCGAUAAAAAACCCGACCUAAACACCUCCGAAUGACCUGAAAUUUUACAUAGAUAUCCAAAAUUACCUAACAGAGCUACUGUAACUCUCGAAAUUCCAUUUCAAGCCUUGAAUCAUAAUCUCACCUAUCAAUCGGAAAUCGCCAAAAUUUAAACUUCGCCAAUUCAAGCCUAAUUCUGCAUCGGACCUCAAAAUUCAAUUCCGAUAGCACUCCUAAGUCAUAAUCAUCCCCCGAAGCUAAUCAAAUCAUCAUGAUUCACAUCUGAGCCCUAUAACUAAAUAGUCAACUUCCAGUUGACUUUUCCAAAGUAAGCUUCCCUUUAAGAGACUAAAUGUCUCAUUUUCAUCUGAAACCAAUCCAAUUCUACCUGAUAAACUCAAAUACUGAUAUUGAAACAUAGAUAAGUAUAAUAUGAGGUAAACAAGGCGGUAACUCACGUGACAACGGGCCGGGUCAUCACAAAAUAUAGUCUCGAGUUGAUUACAAUGAGCAAGCAAUUAAAUCACAGAACACUAAUCAGAAAUGUGACAGGACUAUUGAAAUUACGAAUCUACAUUAGAGAAUCAUCAUCAAUUCCAUUUCAUAUCUCAACAUGUGAAGCUACAUGAUAGAGUCUCGAGGUAUGUACCUAGAAUGAGAAAGGAAUAGAAAAUGAGCAAAUCAACAGCAACACAGGACUUAGCAAAAGCUCCAGAAAUCCAGCAAGGGAUAACGGGGUCUCGAAAAAUAAGUAAUUUCUGCUGGGCCUUUAUCCUUUUUGUAGGUUCAUUAGGCUUCUUAUUAGUUGGAACUUCCAGUUAUCUUGGUAGAAAUUUGAUAUCUUUUUUUCCGCCUCAGCAAAUCAUUUUUUUUCCACAUCUGCUGGGCCUUUAUCCUUUUUGUAGGUUCAUUAGGCUUCUUAUUAGUUGGAACUUCCAGUUAUCUUGGUAGAAAUUUGAUAUUUUUUUCCCGCCUCAGCAAAUCAUUUUUUUUACUUAAAGUAGACUCUUAAACACCCAAGAGUGCUUCAGUGAUCAACAAUCACUAAAACUGGCUCAAAAUUGAUCCGUUUGAACCCAAAUCAACUAAAAACCAAAUCAGAGAUCAUUGUGGACUUUAAUUACUAGAAUCUGAACUAAGAGAAGUCAAUCAAUCACAACAUUUGAAAUUAAACUUGAGGAAUAGAUGGAAAAGUACUAUUUUUUGGGGUUUUCAGCUUUUGUAUAUAUAUUUUUUGAUUUUUUUAGGUUGGAAAAAGGGAUUUCAAACUUUGAGAUCUAGAAUUUAAAAUCUGAAAUUCAAAUAUUUCAAUCCGGAAACUAUGGCCUAUUUGUUGGGAAUUAGAUGACUGAAAAAAGACCCCUCACCAAGGCAAUUGUGAUGCAUUUUAUAGGCAUCCAGAAGAGAGCAACAGACUUCAAAAUUUCUUUUAGGUCCCUGUUAAUUUUCCACUUUUAGUCCCUGUAUUUUUAACUUGGGACACAAGGACCUACCACUAUCAAUCUAAACUUUUAACUACCACUCAUCCUAGAAGCUUCUAGUAAUUUCCAAAUUCAGUCCCCAAAUGAAAUCCCCAAAUUAACCCUUUAUUAACUAAUUAUACUUAGGAUUGACCCACUAACUCUAAUCAACUAAACUAAACAUGGAUGUACUAAACUAUAACUAAAAGUUAUCUGACAAAAAAAAAAAGAAUUAAUCACAGAAUUUGUUCAAUUAUUAACCAACUCGAUCAACAAUAAAAAGUAUACCACUAUAUUAGUCUAACAGAACUAAGCAUAGAGGUCAAGCUAAACUAGAAAACAUUUAAAAGACAACUACCAUAUUGAACUAAUCGGAACGAAUAGUUAGCAGGCGAUAGUUAAACUAAAAAUCAAAACCUAUCGGACCCUAAACAUUAACUAAUCAUGCAAACUAAUUAUUGUCAAAAUAAUUCUAACACUCUAAUUGAAUCCACAUGCUAGCAAGAAAAAUAGGGAUAUAAGAGUGACUGAAAAAGAAAUAAAAAGGAAGGGAACAAACUUACUAAACAAAAUCCGUCCAGUUCAUCAAUUCUCUAAUUUGGCCAUUUCCGAUGAAAUUCGAGCUCUAAUGGCACUAAAAUCUUUAUGAGGUCAGUCCAGGAACCCUAUCAUAUCUCAUUUGGUAAGGAUUGGUUAUUUAAGUUUUGGCUAGAGAAUCUAAAAAUAUAAAUUCGAGAAUUUACAGUGAGAUUCGAGAUGUGUGGUUAUGAGGGUUGGGUAGAGAACGAUAAGGAGAACCUAUGGUGUGAAUUUGGGAUAAGUGACAUCAUGGCCAAAAAACUUUAAAUGGAUAUUCGAUGAGCUCUAGUGGGAUUUGAAAGAAACAAGCAACAUAUUCGAGUAGAGGAGGCGGAGAGGAAGUUAGGGUGUUAUUUUGGGGUGGUUUGGAGGUGGUAACGUUCACCGCCGGCGGCGACUUCCGGCGGCGUUACAGAGAUACGAGGAAGACGACUUAUGUAUUAGGGUUAGUUAAUUUUUUU
Molecule: long non-coding RNA, 4835 nt
Filed under: Nicotiana benthamiana
Lineage: Eukaryota; Viridiplantae; Streptophyta; Magnoliopsida; Solanales; Solanaceae
Description: long non-coding RNA (NBEN_LNC025410)
Source: RNAcentral